GUGCUCACUUCAGCAGUACGUAUACUAACAUUGGAAGGAUAGAGAGAAGUUUAGCAUGGCCCCUGCACAAGGAUGACAUGCAAAUUCAUGAAACUUUCCAUAUUUAA
This 107-nucleotide small nuclear RNA is filed under the name Salvator merianae (Argentine black and white tegu). The record is from RNAcentral. Lineage: Eukaryota; Metazoa; Chordata; Lepidosauria; Squamata; Teiidae.